CCUACGGGAGGCAGCAGUGGGGAAUAUUGCACAAUGGGGGAAACCCUGAUGCAGCGACGCCGCGUGAGUGAAGAAGUAAUUCGUUAUGUAAAGCUCUAUCAGCAGGGAAGAAAAUGACGGUACCUGAGUAAUCAGCCCCGGCUACCUACGUGCCAGCAGCCGCGGUCAUACGUAGGGGGCAAGCGUUAUCCGGAUUUACUGGGUGUAAAGGGAGCGUAGACGGCAGUGCAAGUCUGGAGUGAAAGGCGGGGGCUCAACCCCCGGACUGCUCUGGAAACUGUACGGCUGGAGUGCAGGAGAGGUAAGUGGAAUUCCUAGUGUAGCGGUGAAAUGCGUAGAUAUUAGGAGGAACACCAGUGGCGAAGGCGGCUUACUGGACUGUAACUGACGUUGAGGCUCGAAAGCGUGGGGAGCAAACAGGAUUAGAUACCCUUGUAGUC
RNAcentral lists this ribosomal RNA (440 nucleotides) under uncultured bacterium. RNAcentral's name for it is "partial 16S ribosomal RNA". It matches the Rfam family "Bacterial small subunit ribosomal RNA", at positions 338 to 795 of the family's 1533-position model. The record is from RNAcentral.